CCUACGGGCGGCAGCAGUGAGGAAUAUUGGUCAAUGGGCGCGAGUCUGAACCAGCCAAGUAGCGUGAAGGAUGACUGCCCUACGGGUUGUAAACUUCUUUUAUAUGGGAAUAAAGUGAGGCACGUGUGCCUUUUUGUAUGUACUUUAUGAAUAAGGAUCGGCUAACUCCGUGCCAGCAGCCGCGGUAAUACGGAGGAUCCGAGCGUUAUCCGGAUUUAUUGGGUUUAAAGGGAGCGUAGAUGGGUUGUUAAGUCAGUUGUGAAAGUUUGCGGCUCAACCGUAAAAUUGCAGUUGAUACUGGGAGCCUUGAGUACAGUAGAGGUAGGCGGAAUUCGUGGUGUAGCGGUGAAAUGCUGAGAUAUCACGAAGAACUCCGAUUGCGAAGGAAGCCUGCUGGACUGCAACUGACGUUGAUGCUCGAAAGUGUGGGUAUCAAACAGGAUUAGAUACCCUUGUAGUC
Molecule: ribosomal RNA, 460 nt
Filed under: uncultured bacterium
Lineage: Bacteria
Description: partial 16S ribosomal RNA
Rfam family: Bacterial small subunit ribosomal RNA
Source: RNAcentral